GGGUAGUUGUCCGAACGGUGAGGUCACGGUCUGCAAAAUCAUGUAAGAGGGUUCGACUCCCUCACUGCCCU
RNAcentral lists this transfer RNA (71 nucleotides) under Bacteriophage sp. RNAcentral describes it as "tRNA-Cys". It matches the Rfam family "tRNA". From Rfam's summary of the family: Transfer RNA (tRNA) molecules are approximately 80 nucleotides in length. Their secondary structure includes four short double-helical elements and three loops (D, anti-codon, and T loops). Further hydrogen bonds mediate the characteristic L-shaped molecular structure. tRNAs have two regions of fundamental functional importance: the anti-codon, which is responsible for specific mRNA codon recognition, and the 3' end, to which the tRNAs corresponding amino acid is attached (by aminoacyl-tRNA synthetases). tRNAs cope with the degeneracy of the genetic code in two manners: having more than one tRNA (with a specific anti-codon) for a particular amino acid; and 'wobble' base-pairing, i.e. permitting non-standard base-pairing at the 3rd anti-codon position. The record is from RNAcentral.